UUUGGUUCAUUUUCAGUUCUUCCUGCUAGAAAAAAAAGAAACUGACUUAUUUAAUCUCACAAAUAUGUCUUCGUUAUCAGUUUUGAGGAGUCAUUCUUCCAGUCGCACAAAAUGUUGACAAAUGGAUCAUUUACAUUCAAUUGUAACUUCAGUGCCAUGUCAUAAAUUUUCAAUUCACCAAUCAAUCUCCUCCAUAAGGUAGUUCUCUUUCUAUGACCUGAGAUCACAAAAUCCAUUGCAUGCGAUUUAGUCUUCUCCAACAUAGCAAAUUAGCAAAUGUAAAUAAUUGCGUGUGGUGGUGAAGUCAUGUGUUGCUAUAAAAUCUUUCUCUGCCAACCUCAAAGGGGCGAUAAGGUCAUCCACUCUGUUCAUUCAUUCAAUUCUUUUUUGCUUUUGCAGAUAUUGCAUCAAAGGUGGGAAGUGAACCGUGCAUUAAUACAUAAAUCUAAUAUCAGUUAUAAUUGGCUGACCAUGUAGGAUGUACCACUUUGAUGUAUUACACUCCAUAUUACCUUACAUUUCUAGCGUGGAAUUUUUAUUUCUCUCAUCUGUAUGUUACACUCCAAAUUUAGGUAAGGAGCACACCCAUGAUAUGAAAAGAGGAACAUAGUUGAUCUCCAUUAGAUCUAUUUCAAUUACUCAUAAAAACAAAUAUAUUAAAAAAUGUUAUUUGCAUUGGGUGAGUAGAUUUGAAGUGUUUUGCACUAGAACCCUGUACCCAGCCUUUUUUAUGUGAUAUUCAGUCCAACAAGGAAAACAAAAUGCUAGAGCGAAAGUAAAUCUUUUGAACUGAAAUCACAUAUUGCUAUGCUCAAUGCAUAUUUCUAAAGUAGAAUAGUUUUUUGUGUCCAUAUACUCUUUUUAUUUCGUGGCAACGCACGGGUACUUAGCUAGUAGGAGAUAGAGGAUGAUGCACCAGUCAAGCAGCUCCCACUUAUAAAGAGGCUUGGCCAAGACGCUCAAGACGCGGCAGUAGACGGCGAGGACGAUGGCUAGGCACACCAUCCCGCCCACCAAAUCGUACCUAUCCAUCAGCUAGCGUACAUCUGGUAGGCGAUAUGAAUGAUAGAUAUAUAAGGCCGCUCUCGAUCUCGAUCUCGACCUCGUCAGAAGCUCCGGCUAUCGAUGUCGUCGUCGUCGGAAUUGUAUUAUAUAGACCGUAUGCUCGGUGGUCAAAACUAGGUCGACGUACUGCCGCUGAUUCCUUCCGGCGAUCCUCCUCCGAGUUGGAGCAUACCAUCGCCGCAAGAGGCCCGAGUAGUGUUAGGUUCGGUCUUUCCUUUCCUUUUCUUUUGGGAAUCGUUUCCAUACGAACCGACGCGCCCGUUGUCCUUCAAGGGCGCGGGCCCAUGCAAAAAAUUUCCCAACCGCGCGCGCUUUGUUGAUCAAUGGAUGCAACAUUUUUCCCAUUCACGCGCUUCGCUGGCCAAUGGAUGCAACAUUUUUCAUUUAAAUUUGUUGCAACCAGUGUCAUAUUUGCUGUAAGCGUUUUUUAUUAUUUUUUGUCCCAGUAAAAAAGUUGCAUAUACGAUUUGGUUGCAACUUCAGUUCGUCAG
This 1556-nucleotide long non-coding RNA is filed under the name Hordeum vulgare. Its description in RNAcentral is "long non-coding RNA (HVUL_LNC000151)". The record is from RNAcentral. Lineage: Eukaryota; Viridiplantae; Streptophyta; Magnoliopsida; Poales; Poaceae.